This 250-nucleotide ribosomal RNA is filed under the name uncultured prokaryote. Its description in RNAcentral is "partial 16S ribosomal RNA". It matches the Rfam family "Bacterial small subunit ribosomal RNA", at positions 524 to 773 of the family's 1533-position model. The record is from RNAcentral.
UACAUAGGUGGCAAGCGUUAUCCGGAAUAACUGGGCGUAAAGGGAGUGUAGGUGGUAUUCUAAGUUAUAUGUGAAAGACCAUGGCUCAACCAUGGAACUGCAUAUAAGACUGCAGAACUAGAGUGCGAGUGAGGUAAGCGGAAUUCCUAGUGUAGCGGUAGAAUGCGUAGAGAUUAGGAAGAACACCAGAGGCGAAGGCGGCUUACUGGCUCGUAACUGACACUGAGGCUCGAAAGCAUGGGGAGCAAAC